This 506-nucleotide ribosomal RNA is filed under the name uncultured bacterium. RNAcentral describes it as "partial 16S ribosomal RNA". It matches the Rfam family "Bacterial small subunit ribosomal RNA", at positions 29 to 523 of the family's 1533-position model. The record is from RNAcentral.
AUUGAACGCUGGCGGCAGGCCUAACACAUGCAAGUCGAGCGGUAGCACAAGGGAGCUUGCUCCCCGGGUGACGAGCGGCGGACGGGUGAGUAAUGUCUGGGAAACUGCCUGAUGGAGGGGGAUAACUACUGGAAACGGUAGCUAAUACCGCAUAACGUCGCAAGACCAAAGUGGGGGACCUUCGGGCCUCACGCCAUCGGAUGUGCCCAGAUGGGAUUAGCUAGUAGGUGGGGUAACGGCUCACCUAGGCGACGAUCCCUAGCUGGUCUGAGAGGAUGACCAGCCACACUGGAACUGAGACACGGUCCAGACUCCUACGGGAGGCAGCAGUGGGGAAUAUUGCACAAUGGGCGCAAGCCUGAUGCAGCCAUGCCGCGUGUGUGAAGAAGGCCUUCGGGUUGUAAAGCACUUUCAGCGAGGAGGAAGGCGUUAAGGUUAAUAACCUUGACGAUUGACGUUACUCGCAGAAGAAGCACCGGCUAACUCCGUGCCAGCCGCCGCCGUAA